UAGGGGAUAUUGCAAAAUGGGCGAAAGCCUGAUGCAGCAACGCCGCGUGAGUGAUGAAGGCCUUCGGGUCGUAAAACUCUUUUCGACGGGAUGAGGAAGGACAGUACCGUUGGAAUAAGCCUCGGCUAACUACGUGCCAGCAGCCGCGGUAAAACGUAGGAGGCGAGCGUUAUCCGGAUUUACUGGGUGUAAAGCGCGUGCAGGCGGUUCAGAAAGUUGGAUGUAAAAGCUCCCGGCUCAACUGGGAGAGGUCGUUCAAAACUACUGGACUAGAGGAUGGUAGAGGGAGGUGGAAUUCCGGGUGUAGUGGUGAAAUGCGUAGAUAUCCGGAGGAACACCAGUGGCGAAAGCGGCCUCCUGGGCCAUAACUGACGCUCAGACGCGAAAGCUAGGGUAGCAAACGGG
Molecule: ribosomal RNA, 405 nt
Filed under: uncultured bacterium
Lineage: Bacteria
Description: bacterial SSU rRNA
Rfam family: Bacterial small subunit ribosomal RNA
Source: RNAcentral